Molecule: long non-coding RNA, 3583 nt
Organism: Loxodonta africana (African savanna elephant)
Lineage: Eukaryota; Metazoa; Chordata; Mammalia; Proboscidea; Elephantidae
Exons: 4
Source: RefSeq, a predicted model, not a curated record
UUUGAAGAAAUGACAACUGAGAUCUGAAAGAAUAACAUAAUAAAAUAUUUAGUAACAUAUGUAAAAACGUAAGAUGGGGUAAUGAAGGUGUAGUGUGGACGGGAAUACACCAGGCAGAGGGAACAGCGUAUGCAAAGGCCCAAGGCAGGAGUGAGCCUGGUAAAUUCAAGGAACUGAAGGAAGACUGAUGAAGCAGGAGGGUAGGGAAGCCUAAGGAAACCAUUGUGAAAUGAGGCUGGAGAGCUAGGGGAGGCACAAUGUAGGACCUUGUAGGCUGUGCUAAGAAUGUGAUCUUUUGUCUUCCCUUCUGAUACAAUGGAAGAAAAAAACCAAAGUAGACUUAGUUCUUGAGUAUGUCCUGGUUUCUCCCACUCAGAUUAUCCUGGGCCCUGAGGCCCAAAGAAGAGAGAGUAUAAAGAAAGUCCGUGUCACUGAAAUCUGGGGGAAAUUUUAAGAGCACAGGGGAACAUGAGAAGAUUCAACAGCAUGGGUUGUACAGCUUCAGUUGCUCGAAGGGUGUGUCCCACAGACAUGGACAUAAGCAGCAUUAGCAACACUGAAUUUUGGGCAGUAGUCAUUGCCCCAAAGAGCUCAAGCAAGAGAAAAGAAAAACCACAAAGGAAAUUGUGAUGAUCAGUUUUAUGUGACAAGCUGGCUAGGCUACAUUAUUCAAACACCACUCUAGGUGUUGCUGUGAAGGUAUUUAGUACAUCUAAUUGACUUUUACAAUCAGGUGGUUUUAAAUAAAGAUUAUCCUUGAUAAUUUGGGUCGGCUCAACGCAAUCAGUUGAAAGGUCUUAGAGCAGAACAGAUGUUUCUUUGUUGUUGUUAGACGCCAUCCGGGCGGCACCGACUCAUAGUAACCUUACUUACAACAAAACAAAAUGUUGCCUGGUCCUGCACCAUCCUCAUAAUCGUUGCUAUGUUGGAGGCCUUUGUUGCAGCCGCUGUGCCCUGAGAGAGAAAAAAAUUCUACCCUUGGACUGCAGCUUCAGCUUCAGCCUCAGUUUCCAGCCUGCCCUUCCUAAUAGCUAGCAGCUACCCCUUUGGAUUUUGGACUUGCCUGCCAACUCUCACGGUUGCGUGGUGCAAACGGUUAACGCACUUGCUGCUAACCAAAAAGUUGGCGUUUGAGUUCACCCAGAGGCACCUCGGAAGAAAGCCCUGGCGAUCUGCUUCCAAAAAAUCAGCCGCUGAAAACUUUAUGGAACACAGUUCUACUCUGACAUGUAUGGGGUCGCCGCUGUGUGACUGGCUGCUUCUCCCUGAGGAAACUGCGGUGGAACGCUAGUACCAGCCUGCCCCUGACGCUCCUGGGAAUGGUGCCUGAGGGCUCCCCACGAUUCAGGGCUAAAGGAAUUGUUCUUACUGGGGUCAUGGAGAGAUGGUUGUCAGAAUACCUCUUCAGGACAGUUAAGUUGGUGGCAGCAGCUUGGCAGUUCCUGAGCUAAACAAGGUAGCAAAGGGUCAGAACACAGAAUAAUAAUAAUAAGAGUAGCAAGAUAAUCAUUGUUGUUGAUGGGGCCAUCUAGUUGAUCCCAACUCAUAGCAACCCCAUGUGACAGAGUAUAACUGCCCCAUAUGAUUUUCUAGGCUGUAAUCUUUCUGGGACCAGAUUGCCAGUUCUUUCUCCUCAGAUUCCCUAGGUGGGUUUGAACAACCAACCUUUAGGUUAGCAACAGAGCACUUAAUCCUUUGCAAAAUAACAGCAAAUGUUUAUUGAUUAUUGUGUGCUAGGUCCUGUUUCAGGUACUUUAGUUGUAUGAACUCAUCCAGUCUUCACAACUAUUAUCUAUCCUACAAAUAAAAGCAUUUGCUUUUCAACAUUCAUUUUCAAAAAGUUUAAAGGUCAAACCAUUUUUUGGUGUAAACCUAUGAAAUUCUAUCUUCAGAGCUUAUGCUCUUUAUCAUUGCGUAAUGCAACCUCUCCAGAGAAAGUUAAUCUCCACAGGUAAAGAAUGCAGGUGUUUGCUAAUAUUUAAUACUCCUCUAUGUUGGGAAGGCCAUUGCAUAUGGUUUUAUGUAAGAGCCCUUCUGUAUAAGUCCCAGCCACCAUCCUAUCUUUGACAUGACAUCGUCAUUACAACUUGGGCGUCAGAGUGGACAUUAACUUCUAUUCGAGAAAAAUUUCCAUCUACUUCUCCUAUAUAGAGGGCAGAGAGCUACCUGAGACUUAAAUCCUUCUUUACAAGUACUUGAACUCUUUGCUGUGAAGGCUAAAUGAUAUUUCUAUCUGAAUUGCUUUUAUGAGGAAAGCUAACUGGGGGAAAAAAAACCACAUGGGCUCUUGGAGGAUGUGUAACCUGACUUCUUCACAGUUCGACUGACAUUCACAUCUUGGGUUUUACUUUUACUUUGUCAUGGUUCUCAAAGACUGCUUAGAAUGUUCCACUAUAAUUUUAAUUUCACUGCUGGCUUAUUAGCUGAUGAACUCAGCUGUUCCUAUCUGAGCAGUAUUAGGGUCUGGUAAGAUCUUAUGUCAUUCUAGAGGAAUUCAUUUAUAAACCUUGUUUACUUCGAGAUUUGAGUUGCCACAUAAAUUUGCCAGCUACAGCAUUACAGAUAGCAUUACCAAAAAGCUAUUAGCUAUUCUCUUAGUGAUAAUAUUUAUAAAUGGAAAAUAAUUACAGCCUGAAAGCACACUGUUUCCAGAGUGAAAAACAAUAAAGCUAAAGCAAUAGAGAAUAUACUAUUAGCCCUCCUGGGAGAAGGAGGCCUCCAGAGGAAUAGGAAAGAGGUUGGGGAGAAGCGUGGGACUGGGAAGCAGAAAGAAGGAAGAAGAGAAAGGAUCAAGAGAGAGGCUAGGCUCUUUGAGACAGUUGUAUACUCCAGGCUGUUCUGAGAGUGGAGACUGAAGCCUGGAGAGACCAGAAGUCUCCUACACUUACUGGGAGGAGAUUUUUUUAAAAGUAUUUUUCCAACCUGAGGGAAACUUUCUCAUGGGAAUGCUUAGUUCACAGAUGUUUUCCCAAAAGAUGCUUUCUCUUAUCUUUUCCAGAUAACUCUUUUUUAAAUUUUAAUGAACUCAACUCUAACCAGCUAGAUAAUACGUAGUCUGUCCUGAAGUUUAAUAAAUAUUUACUGAAAUAUUUAUUGAACAAUUGCUAUAUGCAAGGCACUUUGCUAGGUAUUUUGAGAGAUACCAGAAUGAGUAAGACAUUAUAUCUGCCCUCAAGAAGCUUAUGAUUUAGAAGGGAAGAGAAGACAUGUAAUACUGCAACUACUAAUACUAGCUACAGUGUGCCGGGCAUUCUCAGUGAUUUAGACGUAUUAACUCAUUUAAUCCUCAUGCCAACCUUGCAGGAAGACAUCAUCAUUUUAAUAAAUGAGGAAACUGAGAUAAGGCAUUGUUAUAUAAUGUGUUAUCCAAUGUUGAAAAUUGAGAUAGCGGGAGAUGAAAUGUUUGACUUAAGGUCAACCAGUAAAUCAGCCUCAGAGCCAGGCCCAUUACUCAGUAGGAGACUCCCGACUCCCAGACAAGGCUCCUUUUACUAAAUUAUGAAGUCUUCUCAUUUUUUCCUUAAUAAUGAAUGGGACUAGGAGAGAUUUCAACACUCCAUCGAAGACUCCUACUUAUUCUGAA